Molecule: long non-coding RNA, 2042 nt
Organism: Solanum stenotomum
Lineage: Eukaryota; Viridiplantae; Streptophyta; Magnoliopsida; Solanales; Solanaceae
Exons: 5
Source: RefSeq, a predicted model, not a curated record
UGUAAUGGAAGAGUUUCCCUCAUUAGCUCCUGUCUGUCUUGCAAAACUUUAUAUUCAUCCUAUAACAUUAUGAAUUUUAACUUUUUAAACAUAUUUACUCUAUGCAAUUAUUUAAAGAGCAAUUGCAGGUAACUUGGAAAAGGUAUCUACACCCUGCAACUGAAAUCCUUAUAGCCUAUAGGUAACUAUCCCUAAUAAGCAUGGAUUUGUAACCUGGAAAGUAUGCUAAGCUGAUCCGACCAGUUAUAUUACAUUGACAGGUCAAAUUUAUGUAUUAAAGUUAAAUCCAACAAUAAUUUCAAAACUUUCAUGGGGAUCUACCAUGCAACAACAAACCCAGUGCAAUCCCAUAGGUGGGGUAUAAGGGUAGAGUGUACACAGAGACGAUUUCCGAUAGACCCUUGGUUGAACGAACAUGACAAAGUAGCAGUGACAUGCUGCUACAACAUCAAGAAAUAAGAUAUGGAGGCUAAAGAAAAGAAUAGCAGGUAGUAAUAGAAAUCUAAAGAUAAGGAAAAAACAGAAGAAUAAUGCUUAAAACUCCGAGAAUGGGAAAGAAAUACAUCUGACUUACUACUAACCUUCUUCCCUAAUCUUUGGCCUCCACACCCUACUAUCAAGGUUCAUGUCCUCGCCUCCUCAGUGAGCUGAAGUUGUGGCAUAUUCUGCCUAAUUGCCUCAGCCCAGGGGAAGAUCUAGGCGGUCACAAAGGAUUCACCCGAACCCUCUUGGUAAAAAAAAAUACAGUAUAUAUAAGGUACCUUUUAUAUUUUUAUGUAUAUAUAUUGAUUUUGAAUUAUUGAAUCAUGAGUUGUUUUAGGGGAACAGUGGAUUGGAUGGUGGGAAGAAGUGAUAGCAAAGUCUGUAAGCAAGUGAUUGCAUCUCUUGUACCAUAUAUGUAUGCUAGUUUAGGUGUUAGAAAUUUUCUUGUAUCUUAAUGUAAUGCUGUUCAUUAUGGCCUUUUCAUGUCUCUGAAUCGUCUCCUCUAAUACUUAUUGUACACACUAAUGGAAAUUCACAUUUACUUUUUGCAAGAGUUGUAUUUACUUUUUCAGUCAGAAAAUAAAAGGUGUAUCUGUUAGACACGAGAUACUUGAUUUCAACUAUGUAUCUGUGUUAUCCCCUCAAUCAUGUGUGUUUGUUGCUCUAGAUGUUGAUCUAUCUACUAACUCGACUUUAUUCUUCGUUUCAUUGCUUGAUGACAGACUUAUGAUAACCCCUUGCAUUCUAAUCCAGCAUACUCAGUUGUGAAGCAUCACUUUGUUGACAUGGAUGAUACAGUUCCUCAGAAGAUUGUUGUUCAUAAGGACAGUCAUCGAGGAGUACAUUUUCGGCGUGCUGGUCCACAUCAGAAGGUUUAUUUCAGUUCAGAUGAUGUAAAAUCAUCUUCCAUUCAAUAGAAAAUGUGGUGGUUUGUGCCCUGGGCUAAAAGGAGCAGCUUUAAUUAUGAGGGGUGUUAGAUUCUGCAAAUUAAGAGGCCAGGUAUAUACCCACCCAAAAACAUGAGACAGUUUCGACUAAGGAAAUUAGGGGGUGUUGUCUCAAAGUUGUUGCUGGGAUACCAAGACAAUCGACAAUGAUAUUCCAGUAUUUCUCAUUUCUUCAUGUUUUAAUUGAUUAUAUUUUGUUCUGGUACAAUAAACAAUUUAAAAACCUUAGGAAGUAAUCUGAAAUUUCUUGCGAAGUGCAAAGCAUAAACUUUACUACUCAAUAUUAGAAGUACAGUGUAAUGUCUGGAAAUCUCAUUUUGGCAGUAUCCCCUCUCAUUUGACUUGAGCAACUAGUAGCUAAUAAUGGUAAAAACGAGUUUGUUCUGUUAUCAGAUCAUCGACAAGUCAUUUGGCUUUGAUACUGUAUAGGAGGUUCAACGUCCCAUCAAUGCAACACAUGUUGAAGCUCAAAGUCCUUAGAACGGUAUUGGUGUGGUGAAGCUAAUGGGUUGCUAAUAGCGGUAACAUGCUUUUACAAUGUUUUUAUGCAUGGCAAAUAGCCUAGUAUAGAAUUUUUUUAAUAUCAAGUUCUUAUAAAGACUUUUUCUUGUC